RNAcentral lists this ribosomal RNA (283 nucleotides) under uncultured bacterium. RNAcentral's name for it is "partial 16S ribosomal RNA". It matches the Rfam family "Bacterial small subunit ribosomal RNA", at positions 773 to 1060 of the family's 1533-position model. The record is from RNAcentral.
GUGGAUUAGAUACCCUAGUAGUCCACGCCCUAAACGUUGCAUACUCGGUUUUAGCGAUAUACCGUUAGGACCCAAGCGAAAGCGUUAAGUAUGCCACCUGGGAAGUACGUCCGCAAGGAUGAAACUCAAAGGAAUUGACGGGGGCCCGCACAAGCGGAGGAGCAUGUGGUUUAAUUCGAUGAUACGCGAGGAACCUUACCUGGGCUUGAAUGUGAGUGACCGCUGCCGAAAGGUGGCUUCCCUUCGGGGCACAAAACAAGGUGCUGCACGGUCGUCGUCAGCU